GUGCUCGCUUCGGCAGCACAUAUACUAAAAUUGGAACAAUAUAGAGAAGAUUAGCAUGGCCCCUGCACAAGGAUGACAUGCAAAUUCAUGAAGCGUUCCAUAUUUUU
Molecule: small nuclear RNA, 107 nt
Organism: Bos grunniens (domestic yak)
Lineage: Eukaryota; Metazoa; Chordata; Mammalia; Artiodactyla; Bovidae
Source: Ensembl